This 1444-nucleotide long non-coding RNA is filed under the name Solanum tuberosum (potato). RNAcentral's name for it is "long non-coding RNA (STUB_LNC009989)". The record is from RNAcentral. Lineage: Eukaryota; Viridiplantae; Streptophyta; Magnoliopsida; Solanales; Solanaceae.
ACAAUACCAACCAGCGAAACUCCAUUCGAACGAUAGCUCCGGCCAGCGACUCAGCAAACAAGCAACAUAAAAUAUGAUAAUAGAGUUCACUCAGAGCUCGAUAUUUUGGUUGGUUUAGGACGGAUCUCAACAGAUUCGUCCAGGUAUUGAAUCUACGAUACACAAUUAUAGUUUAGUCCUUUGGAGUGGUUUAUAGCAUGUUUCAAAUUGUUAUACUGUUGAGGUUUAUUCAUAUUAAUGCGAUAUGUGAUUAAAUUUGUAUUAAAAUUUUGCUUAAAAUUAAAGGUUUGUGCUUGCUUAUUUCCCCUUUUUUUUUAGUGAUUCUUGAAGCUAAUUUAGUGGUUCUUGAUGGGAGAUUUGAUCUAAUUGUUUGAUUAUUUCCUUAGUUAACUGGAUUAGUUGUCCAUUUGCCGAUUGUGAUCGACAUGGAUGUGAUGAUUGCCCUUAAUUGAUUAAUGUUUCCUCUUUCUUUGUUGCUCUGGUUUAAACUUGCCUAGUAUAUCUUGUACAAUUUUUGGUAAAAUUGUGGUAUGAUUAUUCCUUCCUUAAUAUAGCAUUGUUUUAAAUUGAUAUUUUUGAUCGACUAAGUAUAGUUACCUCAACUAAAGCGGGCAAAUUUACCUUUAUUUGGUAAAAUAAUAAAUUAAUUAAAAUCUGAUUUGGCUAUCCUUUGAAAUAAGGAAAAUAUUAUAUUAAUUGAUUCCUUAAAAUAUUUAUUUCCCUUAUAUGUGUCCCUCUUCUACUAUAUAAAUAGAACCCCUCCCUUAAUUAUAAAAUACUCUCACAUUCAGACAUUGGCUUACACUCAAAAAAAAAAAGACUAAAAAAAUACUUCUUUCUACUCUUAAAAAAAAUUAAGUUUUCCGAUAAACAUUAAAGUUCCUCUCUACUUGCUAUUUUGCAGUGUACGGGUCGGUAAUUGGAUUAAGUAUGGAUCUUCAUUGUUGUUUUCUUUUACUGCAUAACUGGUUAGUAACCUUUAUACAUGUUUAAUUUAUGUUCUGCAUCAUCUUAGUUAUCUUAAGUCCAAAAUUGGGUAUUAAUAAAUAAAAGGAAGCAUCCAGGUCAGUUUUCUUCUCCCUUAUUAUGUGUGAUAUUAUAUUUUGCUUGAAUGAAUUGUUUGUUCAAAUUUGGUGUGUAUGCUCUGAGCUAUUUUAUAAUUAGUUUGUUGUACUAUCCAUUCACUCUUUCACUUUGGUUUAGCAGGCUGAAUUUAGUUUCGGGAGUUUGAAGAGUUGCCUGGGAUGGGUCAUUGGGACAAGAUUUCUUUUGUUUUUAGCUAUAAUAUUUGUAUUUGCUAUUAUGGUUUUGUAAUAUUUUUUUUGUAACUCUAACUCUCUCCAUAUAUGAAAUAAUUUGGGGGAAUUGUGUAAGGGGGAGGGGGAUUCCAUGCUAAUUAUUUUAUUUAUAUACUUCAUUAUUUGUGAUUGCUAAAUUUAUCCAU